RNA transcript from Nomascus leucogenys (northern white-cheeked gibbon), 7980 nucleotides. It is a transcript of the gene named regulator of microtubule dynamics 1, with no coding region annotated. The record is from RefSeq and is a predicted model, not a curated record. The transcript has 10 exons. Lineage: Eukaryota; Metazoa; Chordata; Mammalia; Primates; Hylobatidae.
CAUGGGGGCGGAAGAGGUGCUGGGCAGGAGGCGGGCCGGCGCGGUUCUUUCCGGAAGGAUUGAGGCUGCUUUAGCCCCGCCCGCCUCCGCAGCUGCCUGAAGUAGUGCAGGGUCAGCCUGCAAGUUGCAGGUUAUGUCGCUGGUUGCUCGACUGUGGCGCUUUCUCCCUUUCCGACGUGGAGCCGCCCCGGGGUCUCGUCUCCCUGCGGGGACUUCGGGCAGCCGCGGGCACUGCGGCCCCUGUCGAUUCCGCGGCUUUGAGGUAAUGGGAAACCCAGGAACUUUCAAAAGAGGCCUUUUACUCUCAGCUUUGUCUUAUUUGGGUUUUGAAACUUACCAGGUUAUCUCUCAGGCUGCUGUGGUUCAUGCCACAGCCAAAGUUGAAGAAAUACUUGAACAAGCAGACUACCUGUAUGAAAGCGGAGAAACAGAAAAACUUUAUCAGUUGCUAACCCAAUACAAGGAAAGUGAAGAUGCAGAGUUACUGUGGCGUUUGGCACGGGCAUCACGUGAUGUAGCUCAGCUUAGCAGAACCUCAGAAGAGGAGAAAAAGCUAUUGGUGUAUGAAGCCCUAGAGUAUGCAAAAAGAGCACUAGAAAAAAAUGAAUCAAGUUUUGCAGCUCAUAAGUGGUAUGCAAUCUGCCUUAGUGAUGUUGGAGAUUAUGAAGGCAUCAAGGCUAAAAUUGCAAAUGCAUAUAUCAUCAAGGAGCAUUUUGAGAAAGCAAUUGAACUGAACCCUAAAGAUGCUACUUCAAUUCACCUUAUGGGUAUUUGGUGCUAUACAUUUGCUGAAAUGCCUUGGUAUCAAAGAAGAAUUGCUAAAAUGCUGUUUGCAACUCCUCCUAGUUCCACCUAUGAGAAGGCCUUAGGCUACUUUCACAGGGCAGAACAAGUGGAUCCAAACUUCUACAGCAAAAACUUACUUCUUUUAGGAAAGACAUACUUGAAACUACACAACAAAAAGCUUGCUGCUUUCUGGCUAAUGAAAGCCAAGGACUAUCCAGCACACACAGAGGAGGAUAAACAGGUAAAACAUCUCCCAUAAAGUAAGGCAGAAAGGUUUUGAGGCACUAUUAAAUGGUGAAUUAAGAACUUCUUUAAAAGCAUAAUUUUCUAAAUGCAUAAUAUUGUUGAAAACAAGUAUGUUCAUUUCAAGUAUAUAUUGAUUGACAUUUAUAUUUCUAUAUAGGAAAUGUUUAGUUACUAUCACCAGGUGGAUGUUACGGGUUGCCUGCUACAAUGCAGAAUUAUUCCUGUUUGACACACAUGGCAGAUCGAAUUAACAUUUCUAAAACAUAAAAGUCAUGGGAUGUGUACUAAAGUGGAAGAGCUGAGAGUCCCAUCUGGUCACUGUCAAGAAAUUUUAUUGUUAUAAUGUCCUAUCUGGUUUUUGGAAACUCUUAGAAACCCCACUUAUAAACUUAAAUUUCACAAGUUAGUCUCUUAGCUCUCCUGUUUACUUAUAACAUGUAUUUUUCCAUUUUAGAUACAGACAGAAGCUGCUCAGUUGCUUACAAGUUUCAGUGAGAAGAAUUGAGAACUUUUCAGAGAAGAUGUAUGAAAUAGCUAAUAAACAUUGCCUUUUCUUUUAAUUCUAAACUUAAUAUAUGAACUAUAACUGUUCUACGGCUUUUUAAAUGUUGUGACCAUUUAACAGUGUAAAUAUAAAAAAUUCUAGGCUUCUUCACAAAUAAUAAGGUAAAAGAAAUAAUCGCCAUAAGAAUGGUAGAAAUAAGUCUCCAUGGCUCAGGCAGAGAUUAUUUUGCAUCCUGGAUACCAGCAAUGCAAAAUGGUAUGAGAUUUCUAAGGAUUAAUCACAUUGGGAUGGGAGAUCAAGCAAAGAAAGCUUUGUAGAGGAGGGGAAAUGGGGAUAUACAGGGGGAUGGAUUUUCAAGUUGGAUUGAUUCUAAGUUGAAAUCUUGCAGAGAAGGUGUGAAAGUGGUUAGGAUGUUGUGGGUUCCUGACAUAAAGUAGUUAAAUGAUAUAUCUUGGAGCUAACCUGUGUAAGUAAAGAACUAAGUCAGGAGAUGACUAAAAUGGAGUAGUUUCCUUUUUUAUUUUUUUGAGACAGAGUCUCACUUUGUCAUCCAGGCUGGCGUGCAGUGGCACAGUCUCGGCCCACUGCAGCCUCCGCCUCCCGGGUUCAAGUGAUUCUCCUGCCUUAGCUUCCUGAGUGGCUGGGAUUACAGGUUGUACCACCACACUCGGCUAACUUUUGUAUUUUUGGUAGAGAUGGGGUUUUGCCAUGUUGGCUAGGCUGGUCUCAAACUCCUGGCCUCAAGUGAUCUGCCUGCCUCGGCCUCCCAGAGUGCUGGGAUUACAGGCGUGAGCCACGGCACCUGGCCAGUUUACUUUAAAUGUGGUGUAGUCUCAUGGUAGACUGAAUUUGUCAUCAGACGCAAAUUUCCAUUCCCUAAUGGAAUGGAAGGAACACAAAACUUAAGAGUGAAAUGGAAUACUAAGAUGUUUUUAAAUAGGCAGGACUCUGUUACUCCUUUGAGGCUGGAGUGCCACCACUGCAAAAUCUUUUUAAAAGUUUUGUAAAAAGGAGCAUCUUGAAUCCACUUAGAUAAAGAGAGACUGUGUGUGUAGGUGGAUUUUUCCCAAAGGAUUUGGGAAUUGUAAUGUUACAAUGAACUGUAUGGAUAUGUUUGUCAUGUACAUUUUCAAACAAAAAGGAAAACUGAAAGUAGUGAUCUUUGUACACCCAUCUCUUAGAUUCAGUGAUUUUGCUAUAUAGCCCUUAUCUGAAAUACGUGGGACUAGAAGAAGCAUUUUGGAUUUGGGAUGUUUGUCCAAAUUUUGGAAUACCUGCAUACACACAAUAAGAUAUCUUGGAGAUGGGACGCAAGUUUAAACACAAAAUAAUUCACUUGUUUCAUAUAUACCUUAUGCACAUAGCUUGAAGGUAACUAUAUAAUAUUAUUUUUAAUAAUUUUGUGCAUUGAGACAAAGUUUGCAUACCUUGAACCAUCAGAAAGCAAAGGUGUCGUUAUCUCAGCCACUCAUGUGGGCAAUUUGUGGUUGUUUGAUGUCACCAUCAUUCCUGACUGAAUGUAUAUGCUACCAAUAAGCAGUUAUUUUCUUACACUUAUUCAUGCAUAAGUACUUAACAGUAAAAAAUGACAUAACUCGCAUAGGAACAAGGAUGGCAAAAAAAAAAAAUAUGACAUACCGCUGAUACAGUGAAAAAAUAAUGUGGUCAGGGUAGCUAGGCAACAGUAGCAUCACCAGACACCUGUAUCAGCUGUUUAACGGCAACAACAAUGGCAGGCUUUCAGUCUCCCACUUAUGAUGCUGUAUUUUAAAAGGUUAUUGUAUACUGUAUUUUAUUUUUGUAGGUGAAGAGAAACAGAAGCAGCUGAAGGGCCAGGAAGUGGGUCUUUCUAGGGAUGUGGUGGCAUUCUGCUGGAUGGCUUUUUAAAAUGGGUUUUUUCCUUUAGGGAGACUGAAUAAACUGUGUUGUGCACCUGCAUUUUGACUGUGACCUGUUACAUGAGGUCAGAUGUGGAAUUUUCUACCUGUAGCAUCAUUUUGGCGCUCAGAAAGUUCUGAAUUAUGGAGCACGAAUUUCAGGUUCCAGAUUUUUGGAUUCAGGGAUGUUCAACCUGUAUUUAUAUGUGUGUGUUUGUGUGUGUAUAGACACAUAUAUUUCUAAACCUUUUGAAACUGAUUGCAAGCAUCAUAAUAGUUCACCCCAAAUGUGUCAGCAUGCAUUGUCCCAGAAUAAAGACAUCUUCCUAAACAAACACAAGACCAUUAUCACAACUGGAAAAGUUAACAAUUCUCUAACAUCAUCUAAUAUCUACCCAUAUUCAAAUUUUCUCAAAUGUCCCCAAGAUGUCUCAUGCUUUCUAAAAUCAGGAUCCAAAGAUUAUACACUGCAUUUGAUUUGUUGCUAAUCUUUCCAUCCACAACAGUUCCCCAUCUUUUUCUUCUUGCAACAUUGACUUUGUGAAUAGGCCCGUCCAGUUGUCACAGAUUCUUUCGCAUUCCAGAUUGGCCUAAUUGACCACACUUUGAGAACCACUGUUCCAACUUACUUAUUUCCAGGACUCAAAUUAGUUCUAUUAGCUCUUUGCCUGACUUUCACAUUUAUCACUUACUGAUUUUUCUUCUAGCCUUUUUGUUUCAUUUUCUUGGCUCUUUUCAUUUAUAUCUUCCAUAUCCCUUAUUUUACAUUUGGUUGUAUCUAUUCUUCCUUAGAUACUUUAUAAUUGCCUUCACGUCUGGUAUGUGUUUGUCUUUUUCUCCGAAUUUUUUUCCUGAUUUUAGCCAGUCAUUCACAUCUGCAUUUUGUUUGUCCAGUUCUGAGUUUUUAAGUUGCUAUUUUGGAUUUUUUUCAUAUCAUCUAAUAAUUUAAUUCAUAUUAGCAUAUUGUGUUAAAGUUUACUCUCCUUUUUCUAAUUUUCAAUUUUCUCUUUAGAGUGAUUUUUUUUUUUUUCCCUAGGGAUGUAAUUUUAUGUUGAGUUACCAGCAAUCUAGGUCAUCAAAUGGGAAGAAAGGGUCUGGGUUAGUUCAAGAAUAUUUUCUGCUUAGUUGUUUUUUGUGAGAUCAGGUAUCAUUCAGUAAUAAAGCUUUUUAUGGAGGUGAGGUUUUACCUCCUGAUUCCUUAUUAGAACUUUAAAAAAUACUUUUACUUUCAAAAAAUCAUAGAUUCACAAAUUGAAAAAAAAAAAAAAAAAAAAAGAGGUCCUGUGUACCUUUCUCUCAGCCUGUCCCAGUGCUAACAUCUUAUAUAACCUGUAGUACAAUAGCAAAACCUGGAAACUGACAUUGGUACAGACCACAGACCUUAGUAAAUUUUACCACUUUUAAAUGCUCUUGUGUGUAUCCACAUGUAGAUUUUUGUAACUGCCACCAUCAUCAAGAUACAGACCUGUUCCAUCAUUGCAAAGAUCCCUAGUGCUGUCCCUUUAUAGUCACACCCAUCCACCUCCUCUCCCCCAUCCAUCCCUAACUCUGACAGCACUAAUCUGUUCUCCAUAAUUUUGUUAUUUCAACAAUGUUAUACAAAUGGAAUCAUACAGUGAGACCCUGUGAUACUUUUUUUCACUCAGCAUAAUUCCCUUGAGACCUAAAAGUUCUAUCAAUCAAUAGUUUGUUCCCUUUUAGAGUUGACUAGUAUUUCAUUGUAUGGACAUACCAUAUCAACCAUAUGCUGAGGGGCAUUUAGGUUAUUCCUGAUUUUUGGCUAUUACAAAUAAAGCUGCUAUGAGCAUUAUAUGCAGGUUUUUAUGUCUACAUAGAUUUUAUCUCUCUGGGAUACAUGCCCAGGAGUGUGGCUACUGGGUCCUUUUAUCUUCAUUUUUCCCCUUUACUCUCUUGAGCGUUAGGUUUCUUCUGCAAGACAUGGUGCCUUCCCAAGAUUCUGAUUCUGUGCACUAAGUCUCUUCCAUUUGACUUCCCAGGAGCCUGAUUCCCCACGUGUCACACUGGUUCGUGACGUUUCCCCACUAAGGGUGAGACCCAUUACUGAGAACAAACCCCAGGAAUCCCUUACAUUCUCCUUCCCGUGCAGCCCCCACCUGAUUCUGUGCUUGUGUGGAUUCCAGAGCUGACUGCUGGAUUGAGAUGCUAUUUCCCCACGUACAUGUAUAUAGAAGUUGGUAGUACUCUGUCUUCUAAGUGUAUUACAUACAUAGGCUAUAUCUCUCCAUUAUAGAUGUUUCCUUCCUUCCUUUUGAGGAUAUGAGUAGAAUACUGAUUUUGGAAAAUGGCCAUGAUUCUGUAAGAACCUAAAAGCUCUCAAUUUCUCGAUGGCCAAGUUAUCUCAACUGAGGUUUUAAUCAUGGGCUGUGUACUAGCUGUGGAGGUUGUAAAAAUGACUUCUCUCAUACUCACUUUCCUCAUGUAUAAAAUAAGCAUCAUUAAAGACAGCCCCACCAAUUUCAUGGAAUUGUAAGGAUCAAGAGAAUAAUUUAUGUAAAGGAUUUACCAUGAAUACCAGUAAAUACAACUACUAUUAUCUCUGAUUUUGUUCUUGGUUGAGAAUUCAGGAGAGAAAUUUUGGAAUUUAGGAGAUGUCACUUUUGGACUUAGAUCAAAUCCUCAGUUGACCUAAAUCUUGGCUUUUAAGGCCAACUGAGUGUUACAGGAGAACUUUUAUUUGUGUAUUUCAACAGAGGAAGAUUUUUACUUCUGCAACAUCCACCAAAUCAUCUUAGGUUCAACCAAACAUUCAGACUUAACAAGUCUACAAUAGGCUGUCUUUGGCACCAAUCUACUCAGAAGGCUAUAGGACAGGAACCACAGCUCACCAGCAGGACAAUUUUGAACCUCCUUUCAGAAGACAGUCUUCUAACAGCCAUCUACGCAAUGGUAUCUCCCCAGGUGACAGCUCAUGGUCCUCCUUAAAGGACAUGCAAUUACGAGAGUUUUCCACUCAGGGUUCUGUGUAGCCUCACCUAGUGCAUUGUAAUUUCUUACUUGAGGAGGGAGACCAGCACCCUGAAAACGAACUGGAAAGCCACCUUCUUCAGUCAAAUCUGCUAAAUCAUACCUACAAUGAAUGAUAUUCAAUAACUUCUAUCAUGGCAAAAUUUAUACAGCAGUGGUAUCAUUUGUAAUUCUAAUACUUAACUCUUUUAUGGUAUCAUUAAGGCAGUCCUUUUUGAAGGCCAGUUUCCCUCUAUCACAUAACCUGUCACAUACAUUAGAAUUUUUUUUUAAUUCUUUAGGCUUGAAAAUUACCAGAGUGUUCAUAAUUAGGAUUUGGAAAAGUAGUCUAUUCAACCAAGCAGAGCUCUACCUUUCUUUCAUCUUUACUAUGAAUUCUGAAUAAAAUGGAGAACACACUCAAUAUGUAGAAAAAUAAAAUUUUGGCAAAACAAUAAUUACUGUUUUUCUGUAUGUACUUGGCAGUGAAAUAUUUAUAGGCAACAGAUUUUAAGAAGUCAGUUCCACGGCUAUAAAAAAUGUUUAAGUUAAUGAAAUUUACAGUGCAUAUUAAAAGCAUGAUACAAAUGGAAGUUUAAAAUUUGCUAUUAGGAAGCCCAGUUUGCUAAAGUAGCAUUAAUAUCAUUCACAUCAAAUUUUAAUUUGUUACACAUUUUUGUAGUUCAGCAAAGGCCCUUAUGAUGAAAAACAAUUAAAAAGUUAUGACAAAAAUAAUGAUCUGUGUAAAAAGGGGGAGACCCAAAAGACUUUUAUAUGGUUAUUUAAUUCAGAUAAAUAGAACUGUUAUGAAUUUGAGAGGAAUGAAGAUAUUCAAACACUAACAAAAUCAUUAGCCUCGUAUUAGAGCAUUCAAAUGCUUAUUUAACUCUUCAAUCCAUCUGGCUUCAUAAAAACCAAAACUUUGAACACAAAAAAGUGGCAGAGUUCACAUUACCUUUUAUAUGUUCCUAAGUAUGAAAUUGCAUCAAUUUAUUAUGAAUUAAAUUUGAAAAGCAUCACAGAUUUAAAACCAAAGUACAAAAGAGCCUGAUUCUUUUUAAUUCCACAAAUACCUAGCAUCUCAAAGUAACAUGUAAACAAACUUCUAUGCUGCUCAAUGAAUCCUUCCAAUUUCGAUAAUAAACUAGUAUCAGAUCUAGUAUAUGACUUUCAUGUGUAAGUUAUGGUUUUAUCCAUUACUUUGACAAUAUUACUGAUGUAACAGAAAAAUUUUCAACUAUUGUAUUUAUUUAAAACAAACUGACAGGUUCAAGCACCUGUCUUCAGAAAAGCCAGCAGCAUUUUUUUUUUCUUUUUUUUAAACAUACUCAAAGUAAGAUUUGGCCUAAGCCCUUAAUACCUUCCUGAACAGCCAUGCAACUAAACACCCUCAGGAGAUGUUACAUAAGGGAGAGAAGAACAUGGAGCAAUUUGCACUUUUUCCCCUAGAUAGUAUUAACAAGGUAAAGCAAAUCCAGAUCUUUAUGAAUGAACGGCUGUCAUGUUUAAUACACUUGGAGCUCUAUAAAACUAGAGCCACUAUCAUAUAUGCUUAUAUAGAUAUAUAUGUAUUUUUAAUAAAGUCUUUCACUUGCUUCAAAA